UUCCCAGUGUCAAAUAUUCUGAGUUGAUCCGUGUUGAUUGUGGUGUUCUUUUAGCACUUACAGUGUUAAAACAGCUCUGGGGGCGGAGUUAUUGCGGCGAGUUAAGUGAUGCUCUCCUGACCGAGUUACUUGCACAUCCGGUUUCAACGCGCUCUUUCUUCUUGAAGUCACGGUGAAGAAAACCCGUGGUCAGGAAGAUAUUUAGCUGUUAUUUCAGAAGGUAAGUACACAUUAUAUUUACUUCUACAGGCUGUUCAUCUUCAUAUGAAAUGACGUGUUUUAUAUUUUAGUGAAGCUUGUGACUAAUAGCUAAUUUAACGUUUGCUAACGUUAGUUGGUUGAAGGGAGGAGAAAUAAGCCAGGAAGUGUAACAUCAGUCAAUAAAUAUGUAUGAACCUGUUCAAACCGGCCGAGCAUAUUUAAUUCCAGGCCAAAAUAAUAAAUAGACUUUUUUUCUUUCAGUAAAUUUCUUGAAGAAUAUUUAACUUAAUUAUGCCACAUUAUUUUGCCAUCAGAAAUUCGACGAUCCACCAUGACAGGACAUAAACGAGUUUCCGGUACUUCUGCCUCGAGGGCUAGCUUUACUAACGGUAGUUUCGCGGUACUGCUGUCUCGCGCGCUAACAUUACUAACGGUAGUUUCGCGGUACUGCUGUGUCGAGGGCUAACGGUAGUUUCGCGGUACUGCUGUGUCGAGGGCUAACGGUAGUUUCGCGGUACUGCUGUGUCGAGGGCUAACGUUAGUUUCGCGGUACUGCUGUCUCGCGCGCUAACAUUACUAACGGUAGUUUCGCGGUACUGCUGUCUCGAGGGCUAACGUUACUAACGGUAGUUUCGCGGUACUGCUGUGCCGAGGGCUAACGUUAGUUUCGUGUUACUGCUGUGUCGAGGGCUAACGGUAGUUUCGCGGAACUGCGGUCUCGCUGUCUUGCAUUUCACCGGCGUAUGGUUUAAUUGGCCGACUUUUAUCGCAGGUAUAUGCUAAACUGCGACAGGGACUAAAGAGGAAAAAGCGAGUGCCUAAUUGAUACCAAAACGGUAAUUAUAGACUUCCAACAUCUCAGAGACUAAGGUUCUAACGUUAACUUAGCUAUACCCUGUAACUUUAGCCACUUGUUGGACUUAAUACAUGUUUAAUAACUCCUUGCCUAGAGAAAGUUGAACAGCUAUCUUUUUCCACUCUGUACAGUUUCUGCAAGAUAUCACCAUGCUGCUGAAGGUGAGAUACCAGAGGACCAAGAAGUACAUCCGAUUACAGCUAGGUUUCACCUAUUUGGAAUUCAUCACUGCAGAUGGUAGAAAAUGCCUUGCUCACCAAACCUGGAGGUGAAGAUGUCCUUGAAGAGUACAAGUCAGGAAAUUCGCUGAAGCACCGCACCCGUAGACAGCUUGUCAACAUAUUGGCCAUAUGACUGAAAUGGAUGGCUGAAUCAAGACUUCACGCUGGUGUUUGGUGCUGAGACGGCUUCCAAGAUGCUCGAGAAGUGGGAUACAGCAUUCAAGCCCACGGUCAUCAAAGAGGCCAAACACCUGACUCCGUCAACUGAGCUGUGCCAACUUCUGACAGCUGCAGAGAACCUUCCAGAAGAUGAUC
Molecule: long non-coding RNA, 1593 nt
Organism: Pseudoliparis swirei
Lineage: Eukaryota; Metazoa; Chordata; Actinopteri; Perciformes; Liparidae
Exons: 3
Source: RefSeq, a predicted model, not a curated record